RNAcentral lists this long non-coding RNA (220 nucleotides) under Nicotiana benthamiana. Its description in RNAcentral is "long non-coding RNA (NBEN_LNC006071)". Lineage: Eukaryota; Viridiplantae; Streptophyta; Magnoliopsida; Solanales; Solanaceae. The record is from RNAcentral.
CACCUCAACAUCCUCAUCUUUGCUACUUUCAUCUUCUGUGUGUGUGAGUUCUUAACCGACCAACACUCGGUCCCAUACAGCAUUGCAGGCCUAACCACUGCUCUAUAAAACUUACCUUUUAGUAACGCUGGAACUUUCUUGUCACACAAGACUCCCGUCGCUAACCUCCACUUCUUCCAACCCACCCCUAUACGGUGUGUGACAUCCUCGUUGAUUUCCC